Molecule: long non-coding RNA, 2248 nt
Organism: Cynoglossus semilaevis (tongue sole)
Lineage: Eukaryota; Metazoa; Chordata; Actinopteri; Pleuronectiformes; Cynoglossidae
Exons: 5
Source: RefSeq, a predicted model, not a curated record
GAUAAGCGGAACUCAAACGGAACGAAAACAAAGUUACACAACAUUCGCAAGUUGCCGCGUUUGUUUCCGAGUUUUCGGUCCGUGCAAGUUGCAGCAGAGAGCCGUGGCCAAGAGGAGAAAAAGGCAGAAGAAGAGUUAUUCCCUGUGGAAUUAUUUUGACGACAGAAAGAACGACCAGGUGUCGUCGUGGAUAACGACUUGACAGCGUUUGAAGCAUAAAAACUGCAGUGAAAGGAGGAAAUACGACAUUUUAUAUCAACUGCGGACAACCAACCGACUUUGUUCGCCAAAGUAAAGGAACAGUUUCCAUGUCGACAAUUGGGAUCAGGUUUCAAAGAAGGUCGUCGUGGAGCUGGACGACCUACUUCAGCUGUGGACAACAGGCUGCCAGCUUCAGCCGUAUCAGCAGAUAAAAGCCUUCCAGGCCUGGAGCAGCCGCCGCCGCUGCCUCCACAGGAGCAUUUCAAAGAAAGGAGGAAGAAAAGUGAGCUUUCAGGUGGUUCACUCAGGGGAGAGCAGGAUCAACCACCUGGAACACAAAGGCAUCUGACUGCAAUCAGGCUGAGGACAAAACAGAAAAGAGCUCUUGUUUGGAACGCAGGCUUCCUGGUUUUCGUCAGAUGCUCCAUUUAAGAGAUUCUCUCAUGUUCUUCAAGUCCACAUGCCGCAACUGCAGAACAUUAAGAACUGAAAAUACCAGCGGAGGGGAACAUGCGCUGCUGCUGAUGGAACGGUGUGCAUGAAACAAAAGAACAACACAGUCCUGGUACCGUUCACCACGGAAGGAAAGGAGCAUAUCAGAUGUGGAAAUCCACUGUUGCUGCAAAGAAGAGUGCUGGAAACUCACCGAUGGAACAGCGUGACAUUCUUCAGGCGUCCAGUGGUGUCCGGCUGGCGUCUGGUCUUCAAGGAGUAUGAACGACGACGGCGGCGGCAACACGGCUCUGCUCUCUACCCUCCCUGCAUCUCGCACGGCUUCCUUUAAGAUGCUUCAGUCUUGAGAGCGGGCUACAUGUUGCCCAACAUGCCAGUGCAAGUGUUUCCUCAAUUAGACGUCAUCUUAUCUGCUGUGAGCGCGUCCUCAUCAGAUGAAGCUUGCUGACAGCAGCGUCAUGGCAGUGAAGACCUCAGAGAGCUCCAUCAAAUGGCAGCUGUGCUACAACAUCACCAACCGGACCUGGUGGAUGGUGAGUUGGACAGAAACAUUUGAUUUCUCUUUCUUUUUAAAAACCCCCAAAAUGUUCUCUGUUUGACGACCCCAUCGUUUUCUCUCUGCUGCUCAUGGUCUUAAUAUCGCGACCCUCUCCCCUCGAAAAAAUAAGCUUUUGGAGUUUUAAUCCACUUUUAAUCCACUUUGAAUUUGUGUCUUCCUGCCGCACCCGUCUUUUCUCCGUGGUCCAUUUAGUGGACGGAUCCCAGCUCAGUUCUGAGACUCCUCUUCUCUUCCACUUGUUCUCCUCUUUUUUUUCUUCUAUCAGAGAACUUGUGUAACGGGACAGUUUUCUGACUUUCUGAGUUCUAACACAUCAGAAACAGUCGCCGGCGCUGUUGCGACAAUUACAUCGCACCAGGAUACGACCCCCCCUUUGCCCCUCUCGUCCUCCUUUUUAACUUUCCUCCGUCUCUCACACAUCUCAACAGCAGUAGCGAUGCUGUCCCGGGACGAGCUGCAGUGCCAGGCAGCUUAGCGAAGUGUGUUGCGGUCAGCGGGGCUGCUCGACCUUUGGUCACCUCCCAACCCCCCACCCCACCCCACACUGGUGUUUGUAUGUUUGUGUGGUGGCUGUGAAAAUGAAGAGAAGGGGUGGGGGGGUGAUUUGAAGACCAAAGUGACUAACGGGGGAGUGUAUGGUGAUGGGUGUUCAGAGAUGAAGGGGAGGUCGAGUUAGGGUCUUUGUGUUGUGUGUGAGUUGGUGGCUCUCAAUAGUCUUUUGUGACCAGGGCUGGUCCAAAUGAGCCCAGAGAUGAAAAGGCUUCCACGUAGUGGAGUUCAUUAGAGGACAGGCUGACCGCGGUCAGCAGCGGCAGCAGCAGCAGAGUCAGGGUGGACUUUUGUGGGACGCAGGUUCAUUCCGUCUCCUUCAGUCUGAUUUAGAAUUGAGAAAAAAAUAAGGAGCAGAGACAAUGACUGCUUUAUCCUCACCGUAACAGGACCGUGAACUUGGUGAAUUCCACCCAAUCACCUACCCCCCGCCCCCGCUCACUUAAGACACACACACUUCACUGUCCAGCUCACCAGCAGCAGUGG